Non-coding RNA from Myotis brandtii (Brandt's bat), 108 nucleotides. NCBI's taxonomy places the organism in Eukaryota, Metazoa, Chordata, Mammalia, Chiroptera, Vespertilionidae. The record is from Rfam.
GUGAUCACUUCGGCAGCACAUAUACUAAAAAUUGGAAUGAUACAGAGAAGAUUAGCAUGGUCCCUGUGCAAGGAUGACAUGCAAAUUCGAGAUGCAUUCCAUAUUUAA